GAUAUUUGACUAAAUUACAAAAAAUUCUCUUAUAAAUUUUUUUUUUCACUUUUUGUUUCUAACUUAUAAAAAUUUAUAUUUUACCCUCUUAACAUUUCAAGCUGUUGCAUUUUGUAAGGAUAUAGUUGACGGUAACAAAUUAGAGGAAUAUAUUUAAAAAUAUUAAAAUUUUUAUAGGAACAACAUAUGAAAGUUAAAUUUUGUAGAGAUAUAUUUAUGAUUCAUUAUAUUUGUAGGAACUUGAAUGAAGUUAACCCUAAUAUUUAAUGCAAUUUAGUUGUUCUUAUUUUUUGGGCCCAAUUUACACUUUUAAAAGUGGAAGUUGGUUGACAACAUGAGCUUCUAGAGACUUCUAGAAACAUCUAGAGAGGAGGGAAAAAAAAAGCUUCUAUUUUUUUUGCUAUUUUUCUUUUCUAACUUAAAUGGGAAGUUGUUAGAGGGAGUUGUAGCUUUGUUGAAAAGCAUCUCAAGUGCUUCCACUGAGAAGUUAUAAUUUAGUCAAAUAAGCUGUGAUGCCCCAAUUUUGCAGAGGGUCAUCCAUUCUAGAACUACUCCCGUCCUAACACGCUUAACUCUCUUAAUCUAUUGGGCCAAGCCGCCACCCAAAAUAUUUAAGCCGGAUUAAGAGUUUAGCCAUAUUAUAUCUUAUAUAUAGAACUAUUUGGGGUCUCACAAUCUCUUCCUCUUUAAGCCAUGACGUACUCUUCAAGCUCAGACUCAUAAGUUCUAUAUAUAAAAUAUAAUAGGGCUAAACUCUUAAUCCGGCUUAAGUAUUUUGGGUGGUGACUUGGAUCAAGAGGUUAAGAAAAUUAAGCGUAUUAGGACAGAAGUAGUUCUAGAAUGGGUGACCCCCUGAAAGUUGGGACGUUACAGUGGGCUUAUGCUGGAAAAUCGGGGGCGUGAUAUAAG
Molecule: long non-coding RNA, 909 nt
Filed under: Ananas comosus (pineapple)
Lineage: Eukaryota; Viridiplantae; Streptophyta; Magnoliopsida; Poales; Bromeliaceae
Description: long non-coding RNA (ACOM_LNC030123)
Source: RNAcentral